Molecule: ribosomal RNA, 595 nt
Filed under: Lepetodrilus fucensis
Lineage: Eukaryota; Metazoa; Mollusca; Gastropoda; Lepetellida; Lepetodrilidae
Description: SSU rRNA
Rfam family: Eukaryotic small subunit ribosomal RNA
Source: RNAcentral
UUAAUUUGACUCAACACGGGGAAACUCACCCGGUCCGGACACUGGAAGGAUUGACAGAUUAAAAGCUCUUUCUUGAUUCAGUGGGUGGUGGUGCAUGGCCGUUCUUAGUUGGUGGAGUGAUUUGUCUGGUUAAUUCCGAUAACGAACGAGACUCUAGCCUGCUAACUAGUUCGCCGGCAGCUCUUGUCGCGCGGCGCCGCUUCGGCGGCAAACUUCUUAGAGGGACAGGUGGCGUUUAGCCACACGAAGUAGAGCAAUAACAGGUCUGUGAUGCCCUUAGAUGUCCGGGGCCGCACGCGCGCUACACUGAAAGAAUCAACGUGGAUGCCCACCUGCUCCGAGAGGAGUGGGAAACCCGAUGAAUCUCUUUCGUGAUGGGGAUUGGGGCUUGUAAUUGUUCCCCAUGAACGAGGAAUUCCCAGUAAGCGUCAGUCAUCAGCUGGCGCUGAUUACGUCCCUGCCCUUUGUACACACCGCCCGUCGCUACUACCGAUUGAAUGGUUUAGUGAGACCCUCGGACUGGAGUCCGUCCGCCGCUUUCGGGUGGUGGAGGGGGACGGAAAGACGGUCGAACUUGAUCAUUUAGAGGAAGUAA